This is a long non-coding RNA of Papaver somniferum (opium poppy), 1949 nucleotides long. RefSeq lists it as uncharacterized. The transcript is spliced from 3 exons. The record is from RefSeq and is a predicted model, not a curated record. Lineage: Eukaryota; Viridiplantae; Streptophyta; Magnoliopsida; Ranunculales; Papaveraceae.
CAAUCCGCUGACCUCAAAGACGAGAGUGAGGCUCAUGGAGACGAGAGUGAGGCUCAUGGCCGACUAGGCUGGGCAGCAUAGGCUAGUCCCGCUUGGUUAUUGUCCACUGAAGCUGCCUCUCGUGGUCGUUCAUCACCCCCAUCGUGUCAUCUAAUUUAAAAUCUCCCACUCCUCGUUCAAUUGGGAAGAUUAGGCCAUUAGGGAAAACUUUUGAAGAUCUAAAUUAGCUACAAUUUCCAAUUUGUUUCAAUGAGGGGAAAACUGUUCGCAGUUGGUUUAGAUGGAAGGAAAAUGUUUAAAGAUUGAAAUUAGAGAUGCAAUUUCUAAAGUUUGCUUUGCUUUUAAUUCAACAAUCUACUUAUCUCCUCUUGGGAUAGACUGCGAGUAAUCUUGGAAACUGGACAGUAUCUGGGUUUCAAUUUUGUAUCCCCAACUGACCUUUUCUGGUAGAUUCAAUCUUCAGAAUCUUCGAUCAUAUGAUGUGGAGUGGGUACCUCUAAACUUAGGUCAGAAAUGCCAUUAGAAGUGGGACUUCUUUGAUGCUGUUUCCAGGAUAAAUCUAUUGCGUUCAGCGUUGGUUCUGAUUGUUUGCUUGGAGGAUCAAGCGAUUACUGGAGGUUUGAACAAAAGAAUAAAUCAUGGGAUAUGUGCACGGAAAAAUCUAUGGUAUACUCAGGCCUUGUUGGUGCAGAGGUAGAGUCCAUAUCUUUAUGUGGAUAUCAUUUGGCCGUUGGAAUAGGAACAUCAAACAAUAUAUGACCACUAGAAAUAUAAUAUUCCAUGGAGUAUCCAGUCAGUUGUGUGGGUUAGUUUCCUAAUUCUAAAGGAUAUGCAGUUGGAUCAGUGGGUGAACAUGUUGCUGUGAUGUGUCUUGAUUCCAAUGCAAAUGAAAUGAGGUUCAUAUGUUUGCUCUAGAUGUUUAUGGACCAACGAUACUUUAAUUUAAUAUGAAUGCUUAUUACAGCUGUAUGUUUCAAUGUCGACCAAAAACAAGGGAUGGGAAACACCAUCUUGUUGCUGCGAACGAUAUCCUGUUUGAUCCAAGGUACUUUUUUUUUUAAUCUUAUUUAUAUAUGGUUUUAGAUUGGUGUUGUAGGGUUGACAAUCUCUCAAUUGAUAUUUGAAUUAUGCUGGUUUAGCCAUUAUGACACCUCUGUCACCGGUGAUAAUGAGGGGUAUGCUAUUAUUUAGGCGCUCGGAGUAGGAAGAGACUGUUAUAGGUAACUAGUGUUCAUAGCAUUUCCAGGUUUCUAAAAUUCUUGUUUCAUCUUUCUGGUCAUUCAAAAGAAAAGUUCAGUUAGUAAUGGACAGAUAUAAAUGAAAGCAAAUUUUGUCUCUUAUGCCAUGUAGUGUUCUAACUUCUAAACCCUAGUUUUCUCGCUAGUUCAUAAAGUACCCCCACAUUGUGGCAUCUUUAUCAUAUAACAAUAGCUAUGCUAUUGUGGCAUCUUUAUCAUAUAACAAUAACAUUGUGGCAUCUUUAUCAUAUAACUUCUAAACCCUAUUUUUGUUAGCUGUUGCAUCAAGCUAUGCUCAUCAAGAAGCUAACAAGAAGUUGGUUCUUUUCUUGAUAUUUCCGGGGUUUUAUACUUUGUACUCCGGUAAUAUUAUGCUACAUUAGUAACUACAUGUCUUUCUUUCUUUCCUGUAAAUAGAGAAGAGUCUCCACAAACACUUAUACAUGAAAUGAACAAGAAAGUCAUGGCCCCAUAUGGGUUGAAUGGCUGGUGGAACUUCAAGGUCGAAGUAAACAACGUGUAGGUGUCACACAAAGCUUACUGCCCAGGUUAAUUUCUGCAUUUUUAUAACUGGGAGUAGUAUUUAGUGUCUGAUUGCAGAUAUGAUUUCUUUUUUAGGAUAAUAUUGUAUCUCAGUAGCUUUUAAGUUUGAUAGAACUUGUAUAUGCCAACAUUACAUCGCUCCUAAUCUGGGCCUGGAAGUAGUGUAAU